GAAUGCCCGUUGAUAUACUCGGCAGUGAGGCGUGGGGUGCUAAGGUCCCAUGCCGAGAGGGAAAGAACCCAGACCAUCCGCUAAGGUCCCUAAAUUCGGACUAAGUUGAACAAAGGAGGUCCACUUGCUUUGACAGCCAGGAGGUUGGCUUGGAAGCAGCCAUUCCUUUAAAGAGUGCGUAACAGCUCACUGGUCGAGCGGGGCGGGCAUCGAUAAUAAACGGGCAUCAAGCAUAUUACCGAAGCUAUGCGAUAGUAUUUAUACUGAUCGGUAGGGGAGCAUUCUCACAGGGGUGAAGGUGUGGCGUGAGCUGCGCUGGACUGGUGAGAAAAGCAAAUGUAGGCAUAAGUAACGAUAAUGCGGAUGAGAAAUCCGCACACCGAAAGACUAAGGAUUCCUCCGCUAUGCUAAUCAACGGAGGGUUAGGCGGGGCCUAAGGUAUAGCCGACAGGUGAACACCGAUGGACAGCAGGUUAAUAUUCCUGCCCUUGCUGUAAGUGUGAAGAAGUGACGGAGUAACAUGGCUUGUACGUACUGACGGAAUAGUGCGUUGAGCGGCGCCUACGGGCAAAGCAAACAGGCGAAGAUACUUCCAAGAAAAGCUUUUGAAACGCCAGCUUAUAGCAACCCGUACCGUAAACCGACACAGGUAGUCGAGAAGAAUAUUCUAAGGUGCUCGAGUGAAUCACGGCUAAGGAACUCGGCAAAUUAACCCUGUAACUUCGGGAGAAGGGGAGCCUCCUCUGCAAAGAGAGGCCGCAGAGAAAUGGCCCAGGCGACUGUUUAGCAAAAACACAGGGCUCUGCCAAAUCGAAAGAUGACGUAUAGGGCCUGACACCUGCCCGGUGCUGGAAGGUUAAGAGGGGAGCUUAGUCGCAAGGCGAAGGCUUGAAUCGAAGCCCCAGUAAACGGCGGCCGUAACUAUAACGGUCCUAAGGUAGCGAAAUUCCUUGUCGGGUAAGUUCCGACCUGCACGAAUGGUGUAACGAUUUGGGUGCUGUCUCAGCCGUGAGCUCGGUGAAAUUGUAGUCUCGGUGAAGAUGCCGAGUACCCGCCACGGGACGGAAAGACCCCGUGCACCUUUACUAUAGGUUGCCAUUGGUGGUGGGUUCAGUAUGUGUAGCAUAGGCGGGAGGCGUCGAAGCAGGGCCGCUAGGUCUUGUGGAGCCAACGUUGAAAUACCGCCCUUACUGUGCCUGCUGCCUAACUCUAAGUUUCUUAGAGAACAGUGGCUGCUGGGUAGUUUGACUGGGGUGGUCGCCUCCAAAAGAGUAUCGGAGGCUUUCAAAGGUCCACUCAAUCCGCUUGGUAACCGGAUGUAGAGCGCAAUAGUAGAAGUGGGCUUGACUGUGAGACUGACUAGUCGAGCAGGGUCGAAAGACGGAUAUAGUGAUCCGGUGGUUCCGUAUGGAAGGGCCAUCGCUCAAAGGAUAAAAGGUACGCCGGGAUAACAGGCUGAUCUCCCCCAAGAGCUCAUAUCGACGGGGAGGUUUGGCACCUCGAUGUCGGCUCGUCACGUCCUGGGGCUGGAGAAGGUCCCAAGGGUUCGGCUGUUCGCCGAUUAAAGUGGCACGCGAGCUGGGUUCAGAACGUCGUGAGACAGUUCGGUCCCUAUCUGUGGUGGGCGUAGGAAGAUUGACGGGGGCUGACCUUAGUACGAGAGGACCGGGUUGGACCCACCGCUGGUGAGCCGGUUGUUACGC
Molecule: ribosomal RNA, 1703 nt
Filed under: Jasus edwardsii (red rock lobster)
Lineage: Eukaryota; Metazoa; Arthropoda; Malacostraca; Decapoda; Palinuridae
Description: bacterial LSU rRNA
Rfam family: Bacterial large subunit ribosomal RNA
Source: RNAcentral